CUCUCUAUUCAUUUUCUCGCUUACUUUUGCUGAUUAAAAAAAUCGCAAGUUACAGAAAAUUUAGGAUCUAGCGAUCUCGACAUUCUGUCCAAUACAUUAUAUUCACCUGCAAAAAAGGUUUCCCUGAAUCUUUUUCCCCAAUACUACAUCCUUUUUUAUAGUUUAUUACUAUGAUAAGUAUUUCCAGUUACUGCAUUCCCUCAUUGAAAAAAAUCUGCCCCACAGGUCGAAGCAAAUGUUGCAAUCAGUCCACAACCUCAAUUCUGAAACGCCGUCUUAGAAAACCAUAAAUAAGGUAAUUCCUACUACUUCCUAAUGUGUUUUCUAAGUCAAUAGAAGCUACUACUUUUUAUAUAUCAAAAUCAUCUGAGCACUACACACAGCUUUACUGUUUAUGUUGCCUUCGCCUCAAAAUACUGAUUACAACAUCUUUAUGUAGUAUAUGCCACUAAUGUAUUUUGUAUGAUAGCAUGUAUACACCUAAGACAUAUGCCACAUAUGUGGCCAUGAACGUGUCAAACUGAUGUUUCCAUAAGCUUUAUAUAAUAUGCCACUAAAGUAUUUUGUAUGCAUAUGCACCUUGGACAUAUGUAAACAUGGACGACCCCUUUUAUAUGUAUAUACAUGUCGAUCUUUUAGACAACUAGAACAAACAACUUUACUGGAGAUGUAUAAAUGUUUACAAACACUGUUAACAUAAUUUUCUAUGAUCUUGUUUUUGGAAUGUUACUACAGUUCUGCAAGAGUUAUAUUACCAGCAUACUAAAAAAACAUACUUCUAACACACGUAUUUGAUAUUGCACGCAGGGCGCACAUCAUUUACUAGUACAAGAUAAUCAGAGGGGUACAACCUGUCAUUGAUUAAUAUUGGUCAUCUCAUUCAUUAAUUUGGUGAAAAAAUAAAUAUGACAACCUAUCAUUGAUUAAUUUAAAGCUUACACAAAAUUUGCAAAAUAUAAAAAGGAACAAAAAACAUAUAUGUGGGGUUAGGUGUACCUUGACAUUAUCUACGAGACCAAAUUUGGUGCAUUCAUCUUUAACAUCAAUCCCAAAAUCAGAAAGAAGCUCUUCGUCAGCCCGCAGAAUACUAUUGGUUAAUCCAAUAAGAAUGAUAAUAAAGUUGCUUUGAAGCAUGAACCUCAUAUGAACAAACUGAAUGAUCUAAUGUGCAACCAAGUACAAGAGCUAUCUCAGAUCAAAAGAGCAUAUAAUGCAGGAGGUGCCAAGCAUAUUUCAACUGCUUACUAUCAACUCAGCAAGGUUGAACAU
Molecule: long non-coding RNA, 1269 nt
Filed under: Zea mays
Lineage: Eukaryota; Viridiplantae; Streptophyta; Magnoliopsida; Poales; Poaceae
Description: long non-coding RNA (ZMAY_LNC001585)
Source: RNAcentral